Molecule: ribosomal RNA, 425 nt
Filed under: uncultured bacterium
Lineage: Bacteria
Description: partial 16S ribosomal RNA
Rfam family: Bacterial small subunit ribosomal RNA
Source: RNAcentral
GUGGGGAAUCUUAGACAAUGGGGGAAACCCUGAUCUAGCCAUGCCGCGUGAGCGAUGAAGGCCUUAGGGUUGUAAAGCUCUUUUAGCUGGGAAGAUAAUGACUGUACCAGCAGAAGAAGCCCCGGCUAACUCCGUGCCAGCAGCCGCGGUAAUACGGAGGGGGCUAGCGUUGUUCGGAAUUACUGGGCGUAAAGCGCACGUAGGCGGACCGGAAAGUCAGAGGUGAAAUCCCAGGGCUCAACCUUGGAACUGCCUUUGAAACUCCUGGUCUUGAGGUCGAGAGAGGUGAGUGGAAUUCCGAGUGUAGAGGUGAAAUUCGUAGAUAUUCGGAGGAACACCAGUGGCGAAGGCGGCUCACUGGCUCGAUACUGACGCUGAGGUGCGAAAGCGUGGGGAGCAAACAGGAUUAGAAACCCGGGUAGUCC